This 429-nucleotide ribosomal RNA is filed under the name Chloroflexota bacterium. RNAcentral describes it as "Chloroflexi bacterium partial 16S ribosomal RNA". It matches the Rfam family "Bacterial small subunit ribosomal RNA", at positions 355 to 776 of the family's 1533-position model. Lineage: Bacteria; Bacillati; Chloroflexota. The record is from RNAcentral.
UGGGGAAUAUUGCACAAUGGGCGCAAGCCUGAUGCAGCCAUGCCGCGUGUAUGAAGAAGGCCUUCGGGUUGUAAAGUACUUUCAGCGGGGAGGAAGGGAGUAAAGUUAAUACCUUUGCUCAUUGACGUUACCCGCAGAAGAAGCACCGGCUAACUCCGUGCCAGCAGCCGCGGUAAUACGGAGGGUGCAAGCGUUAAUCGGAAUUACUGGGCGUAAAGCGCACGCAGGCGGUCUGUCAAGUCGGAUGUGAAAUCCCCGGGCUCAACCUGUGAACUGCAUUCGAAACUGGCAGGCUAGAGUCUUGUAGAGGGGGGUAGAAUUCCAGGUGUAGCGUUGAAAUGCGUAGAGAUCUGGAGGAAUACCGGUGGCGAAGGCGGCCCCCUGGACAAAGACUGACGCUCAAGUGCGAAAGCGUGGGGAGCAAACAGG